AGCGAACGCUGGCGGCGUGCCUAACACAUGCAAGUCGAACGGGAAUAGAUUCGUCUUAGUACCGUGGCGAACGGGUGAGUAACGCGUGGGUAAUCUGGCCUUUGGUGGGGGAUAACCAUUCGAAAGGAUGGCUAAAACCGCAUAAGACCCAAUAAUCGGGAGAUUUAUGGGUGAAAGGGUGCUUAGGCACCUGCCGAAGGAUGAGCCCGCGUCCCAUUAGCUAGUUGGUGGGGUAAUGGCCUACCAAGGCUGAGAUGGGUAGCUGGUCUGAGAGGAUGAUCAGCCACACUGGGACUGAGACACGGCCCAGACUCCUACGGGAGGCAGCAGUGGGGAAUAUUGCGCAAUGGGGGAAACCCUGACGCAGCAACGCCGCGUGGGUGAAGAAGGCCUCGGUGUAAGCCUGUCAGUGGACGAAUGGGCGUGAGGGUAAAGUAGCUCUUGGUCAUGACGGUACCAUCAGAGGAAGCACCGGCUAACUCCGUGCCAGCAGCCGCGGU
RNAcentral lists this ribosomal RNA (500 nucleotides) under uncultured bacterium. Its description in RNAcentral is "bacterial SSU rRNA". It matches the Rfam family "Bacterial small subunit ribosomal RNA", at positions 29 to 521 of the family's 1533-position model. The record is from RNAcentral.